This 74-nucleotide transfer RNA is filed under the name Pseudomonadota bacterium. RNAcentral's name for it is "tRNA-Met". It matches the Rfam family "tRNA", at positions 10 to 71 of the family's 71-position model. From Rfam's summary of the family: Transfer RNA (tRNA) molecules are approximately 80 nucleotides in length. Their secondary structure includes four short double-helical elements and three loops (D, anti-codon, and T loops). Lineage: Bacteria; Pseudomonadati; Pseudomonadota. The record is from RNAcentral.
GCUGAAACGGCAUAAAACAGAAGGGUUAGGGACUCAUAAUCCCUUGGUCGUAGGUUCGAGUCCUACCGGGCCCA